Molecule: unclassified non-coding RNA, 529 nt
Filed under: Hevea brasiliensis (rubber tree)
Lineage: Eukaryota; Viridiplantae; Streptophyta; Magnoliopsida; Malpighiales; Euphorbiaceae
Source: RNAcentral
GCGAUAAUAUUGCACUAAAAAGGGUCUGGUAAACAGCUAGAUCCCUUCGUUGUUGUAGCACAUCAUUUGUGUCAAAAUACUCAAACGUAGUCUGAGUACGUGGCCUGUUGACAUCUCGACAGGAUCUGGCUUCCACAAAUUCAGAGCUCGUACUUCCGUUUUUGCUGUUAUCUUCUUGCAUUCCUUCCUUGUGUAUGGCCACGCUCUCAAUGCCACUUGAUCUCCAAAAUGGAACAGCAUCGCUACAGCCUUGCAUUACUGGGCCAUCAAAAUGGUCUUCAAGGUCUGAAAGUGCUUUACCAUGAACUUCAUUCAAUCGUUGAUUUUCCACCUUCAGAUUCUUAAGCUGGUCCUCCAAUUGCUCAAUUUUGACGAUGGCAUCGUCAUGUUCAUCCUCGAGUUCUGCUAACAUGGCCUGCAUUAUCUUUUUAUCCUUGAUGGCUACUAGUAUUUUCUUCUCAAGUUGCUUCCUUUCCCAAACAAGAUUUUCAAACUCGAUCUGCAUUUCCUGCAGAUGCAUCUCCAGCGC